GUUUUAAGGGUGACUUGCAUUGUUGGAUAUCCUUUCACCCCUUUUAUGAAUGAAAUGUAAAGCCUGACAAAA
This is a small nucleolar RNA of Suncus etruscus (white-toothed pygmy shrew), 72 nucleotides long. RefSeq annotates it as small nucleolar RNA SNORD101. The transcript has a single exon. The record is from RefSeq and is a predicted model, not a curated record. NCBI's taxonomy places the organism in Eukaryota, Metazoa, Chordata, Mammalia, Eulipotyphla, Soricidae.